Molecule: non-coding RNA, 127 nt
Organism: Lasiosphaeria miniovina
Lineage: Eukaryota; Fungi; Ascomycota; Sordariomycetes; Sordariales; Lasiosphaeriaceae
Source: the annotation of a RefSeq genome assembly
AUGCUGUUAGUCUAGCGGUAUGAUUCUCGCUUUGGGUUUCUGUUUCUGAGCGUGUGUUAUCAUGUUUUAGACACACAAACAUAAACACUCAUGCGAGAGGUCCCGGGUUCAAUCCCCGGACAGCCCC